AUUGUUUUGGCAGAUUAGUGCAAUAGAUUUAGAAUCUUUAUAUGUAAUUUAUACAAAUAAUA
RNAcentral lists this transfer RNA (62 nucleotides) under Xyloterini sp. Its description in RNAcentral is "tRNA-Leu". Lineage: Eukaryota; Metazoa; Arthropoda; Insecta; Coleoptera; Curculionidae. The record is from RNAcentral.